AAACCAGCACCUCAAGUGGUCAGGAGGAUUAUUGGGCCUAAAGCAUCCGUAGCCUGUUCUGUAAGUUUUCGGUUAAAUCCAUUAGCUCAACUAAUGGGCCGCCGAAAAUACUGUAGAACUAGGGAGUGGGAGAGGUAGACGGUAUUCGGUAGGAAGGGGUAAAAUCCUUUGAUCUAUUGAGGACCACCUGUGGCGAAGGCGGUCUACCAGAACACGUUCGACAGUGAGGGAUGAAAGCUGGGGGAGCAAACCGGAUUAGAAACCCGAGUAGUCC
Molecule: ribosomal RNA, 274 nt
Filed under: uncultured bacterium
Lineage: Bacteria
Description: partial 16S ribosomal RNA
Rfam family: Archaeal small subunit ribosomal RNA
Source: RNAcentral